GACGAACGCUGGCGGCGUGCUUAACACAUGCAAGUCGAACGGAAAGGCCCUGCUUGUCGGGUACUCGAGUGGCGAACGGGUGAGUAACACGUGGGUGAUCUGCCCUGCACUUCGGGAUAAGCCUGGGAAACUGGGUCUAAUACCGGAUAGGAGCCAUUUUUAGUGUGAUGGUUGGAAAGUUUUUUCGGUGUAGGAUGAGCUCGCGGCCUAUCAGCUUGUUGGUGGGGUAAUGGCCUACCAAGGCGGCGGCGGGUGGCCGGCCUGGGAGGGUGGACGGCCACAGUUGGACUGGGAUACGGCCCAGACUCCGACGGGAAGGAGCAGUGGGGGAUAUUGCACAAUGGGCGCGAGGCUGAUGCAGCGACGGCGCGUGGGGGAUGACGGACUUCGGGUUGGAAACUCAUUUCGCUAGGGACGAAGCUGUUUGUGACGGUACCUGGAUAAGAAGCACCGGCUAACUACGUG
Molecule: ribosomal RNA, 465 nt
Filed under: uncultured bacterium
Lineage: Bacteria
Description: partial 16S ribosomal RNA
Rfam family: Bacterial small subunit ribosomal RNA
Source: RNAcentral